This 23-nucleotide unclassified non-coding RNA is filed under the name Chlamydomonas reinhardtii. Its description in RNAcentral is "small RNA Cre_3943". Lineage: Eukaryota; Viridiplantae; Chlorophyta; Chlorophyceae; Chlamydomonadales; Chlamydomonadaceae. The record is from RNAcentral.
UUGCCCUGUAAGCCCCUCGGUGC